ACCAGGGAGGAUAACGUUGCUUCAGCAACGGCCCGUAGGGCGAGGCGCAGCCGAGUAAUCCUCCCGGAUGCACCA
This 75-nucleotide small RNA is filed under the name Citrobacter koseri. RNAcentral describes it as "partial RtT sRNA". It matches the Rfam family "RtT RNA", at positions 52 to 130 of the family's 130-position model. Rfam says of the family: This family represents a bacterial cis-regulatory element known as RtT RNA. The exact function of RtT is unknown although it is thought that it may be involved in changing the cellular response in relation to amino acid starvation. The record is from RNAcentral. Lineage: Bacteria; Pseudomonadati; Pseudomonadota; Gammaproteobacteria; Enterobacterales; Enterobacteriaceae.